This 53-nucleotide transfer RNA is filed under the name Longidorus vineacola. Its description in RNAcentral is "tRNA-Ser". The record is from RNAcentral. Lineage: Eukaryota; Metazoa; Nematoda; Enoplea; Dorylaimida; Longidoridae.
AGUAUUCAGGAAAUAGCAGGACUUCUAAUCCUACAUAACCCAAGGGUAGCCUG